Molecule: ribosomal RNA, 264 nt
Filed under: uncultured archaeon
Lineage: Archaea
Description: partial 16S ribosomal RNA
Rfam family: Archaeal small subunit ribosomal RNA
Source: RNAcentral
ACAGUCACACAUUAGAUACCCCUGUAGUCCUGGCCGUAAACGAUGUGGACUUGGUGUUGGAAUGGCUCCGAGCUGCUCCAGUGCCGAAGGGAAGCUGUUAAGUCCACCGCCUGGGAAGUACGGUCGCAAGACUGAAACUUAAGGAAUUGGCGGGGGAGCACCACAACGGGUGGAGCCUGCGGUUUAAUUGGACUCAACGCCGGGAAGCUCACCGGAUAAGACAGCGGAAUGAUUGCCGGGCUGAAGACCCUGCAUGACCAGCUG